UAAGGAAUCUUCCACAAUGGGCGAAAGCCUGAUGGAGCAAUGCCGCGUGCAGGAAGACGCUUUUCGGAGUGUAAACUGCUUUUCUGAAGGAAGAUUAUGACGGUACUUCAGGAAUAAGGAUCGGCUAACUACGUGCCAGCAGCCGCGGUAAUACGUAGGAUCCAAGCGUUAUCCGGAAUUACUGGGCGUAAAGCGUGCGCAGACGGUUUGAUAGGUCGAUUGCGAAAUCCCGUGGCUCAACCAUGUGGACUGUAAUCGAAACCAUCUGACUAGAGGUAGGUAGAGGCAAGUGGAAUUUCUGGUGUAGGGGUGACAUCCGUAGAUAUCAGAAGGAACACCAAUGGCGAAGGCAGCUUGCUGGGCCUUACCUGACGUUCAGGCACGAAAGCGUGGGGAGCAAACAGG
RNAcentral lists this ribosomal RNA (405 nucleotides) under uncultured bacterium. RNAcentral's name for it is "bacterial SSU rRNA". It matches the Rfam family "Bacterial small subunit ribosomal RNA", at positions 355 to 776 of the family's 1533-position model. The record is from RNAcentral.